AUUGAACGCUGGCGGCAGGCCUAACACAUGCAAGUCGAGCGGAUGAAGGGAGCUUGCUCCUGGAUUCAGCGGCGGACGGGUGAGUAAUGCCUAGGAAUCUGCCUGGUAGUGGGGGAUAACGUCCGGAAACGGGCGCUAAUACCGCAUACGUCCUGAGGGAGAAAGUGGGGGAUCUUCGGACCUCACGCUAUCAGAUGAGCCUAGGUCGGAUUAGCUAGUUGGUGGGGUAAAGGCCUACCAAGGCGACGAUCCGUAACUGGUCUGAGAGGAUGAUCAGUCACACUGGAACUGAGACACGGUCCAGACUCCUACGGGAGGCAGCAGUGGGGAAUAUUGGAAUGGGCGAAAGCCUGAUCCAGCCAUGCCGCGUGUGUGAAGAAGGUCUUCGGAUUGUAAAGCACUUUAAGUUGGGAGGAAGGGCAGUAAGUUAAUACCUUGCUGUUUUGACGUUACCAACAGAAUAAGCACCGGCUAACUUCGUG
This 482-nucleotide ribosomal RNA is filed under the name uncultured bacterium. RNAcentral's name for it is "partial 16S ribosomal RNA". It matches the Rfam family "Bacterial small subunit ribosomal RNA", at positions 30 to 507 of the family's 1533-position model. The record is from RNAcentral.